AGAGUUUGAUCCUGGCUCAGAACGAACGCUGGCGGCGUGCCUAACACAUGCAAGUCGAACGGAGAUAAGGGGCUUGCUCCUUAUUUUAGUGGCGCACGGGUGAGUAACGCGUGGAUAAUCUACCUUGGAAUCUGGGAUAACAUUUCGAAAGGGGUGCUAAUACCGGAUAAGACCACGAGCUCUUUGGGGUUUGCGGUAAAAGGGGGCCUCUGUAUAUGCUUCUGUUUCAAGAUGAGUCCGCGUACCAUUAGCUAGUUGGCAGGGUAAUGGCCUACCAAGGCGACGAUGGUUAGCUGGUCUGAGAGGAUGAUCAGCCACACUGGAACUGAGACACGGUCCAGACUCCUACGGGAGGCAGCAGUGGGGAAUUUUGCGCAAUGGGGGAAACCCUGACGCAGCAACGCCGCGUGAGUGAUGAAGGCCUUCGGGUCGUAAAGCUCUGUCAGAGGGAAAGAAGUGU
RNAcentral lists this ribosomal RNA (460 nucleotides) under uncultured bacterium. RNAcentral describes it as "bacterial SSU rRNA". It matches the Rfam family "Bacterial small subunit ribosomal RNA", at positions 8 to 453 of the family's 1533-position model. The record is from RNAcentral.